UGGGGAAUAUUGCACAAUGGGCGAAAGCCUGAUGCAGCAACGCCGCGUGAGUGAUGAAGGUCUUCGGAUUGUAAAGCUCUGUCUUUUGGGACGAUAAUGACGGUACCAAAGGAGGAAGCCACGGCUAACUACGUGCCAGCGGCCGCGGUAAUACGUAGGUGGCGAGCGUUGUCCGGAUUUACUGGGCGUAAAGGGUGCGUAGGCGGAUGUUUAAGUGAGAUGUGAAAUACCCGGGCUUAACUUGGGUGCUGCAUUUCAAACUGGAUAUCUAGAGUGCAGGAGAGGAGAAUGGAAUUCCUAGUGUAGCGGUGAAAUGCGUAGAGAUUAGGAAGAACACCAGUGGCGAAGGCGAUUCUCUGGACUGUAACUGACGCUGAGGCACGAAAGCGUGGGUAGCAAACAGGAUUAGAUACCCUGGUAGUCCACGCCGUAAACGAUGAGUACUAGGUGUAGGAGGUAUCGACCCCUUCUGUGCCGCAGUAAACACAUUAAAGUACUCCGC
Molecule: ribosomal RNA, 502 nt
Filed under: uncultured bacterium
Lineage: Bacteria
Description: partial 16S ribosomal RNA
Rfam family: Bacterial small subunit ribosomal RNA
Source: RNAcentral